GGCCUCCUUGGUUUUUCCUUUGCGGGUGAGUAGCUACGUAUUACAGACAGUAAGGGGCGCCAUAAGACAAAAAAAAGGACAUUGUUACCAUAGCAGGAUCCGUAUUCAUUAGUGCACACAGGAGCACAACGUAGGCAAACAAUUUGCACUGGAAAACGAAAACGAGCGUUUCUUAUUGGACAACCUCAAGCAGUCCAUUUUCCUGUGUUUGGUACCUAAAUGAAUAGGCUGUAACUUGGCUCAGCUGCUGCAAAGAUGGCGGACAGAAAUACCAGGAUGGAAGCAAAUGGACUCCUGAAACGACCAGCAAACCAGGCAGUCGUCUUGUGAAACGGUGGAUGUAAAGAAUCUAGCUAGGUAAAGCGUUUACUGCAAAUUGAAUGUACAAUUUUGUAAGCUUGCCUUGUGGAUAACGUAACUAGCUAACUAUUUUCUUGUUUAUUGAGCAGUGGAGUAUAAAAAUCACUGUAUACCUAUGGAUGUGUAGCUAGCGGUCUAGCUGAUCUGUGUAUGGACCCAAACGUUUGGUAUACAUAUUAGUUCAGAACCUAGAUAUGAACUUAAGCUAUCAUAGCCGGUUGUAUCAACUUCAAAACAGUCUGAAUGACAUUAAUGAAGCCUAUGGAUUGAGUAGAAUAUAAUCUAACUUUGUGCCAAGGAUGCAAGUCGUAUAUACAUGUAGCAUGAGAUCCCCACAUUGUAGCCUGUACAUUUAAUAUUCCCACUGAUCAUGUACUCUACCGUGGCAAAUAAAGGUGCAGUUCAGGUAUGAAUGUCUGUGAGAUUCUUUUUCAGUCAUAUCCAAUACCAGGAGUAUCAAACGGCAUUCUUUGAAUGGUGCUGUGUCUGCAUGUAUGCAUUACAAUUAUACACUUCAAGUGUUUACCAAUCUUGGUCCUGGGAUAUCAAUGCUUGGUUACACAUUAACUAUGCAAUAGACUAGAAACAUGAUUUAACUAGUUAAAAGGGCUGAUUUGUAAUUCAUAUAUACAGAAAGAUAAUUUUUUAAAACACAGUACAUUACACUUCCUACGCAUCAUGUAAAUAGGUUCAUCUAUCUAAUUUCCUUCAUCUGCACUGAUCUGAGGACAGGAUAGGUGUGGUAUUUCAUCAAAUGAGAGACUUCAACCAGUAGAGAAUGUGAAAUGUUUUACAUAAGUGUCUCUAGAGGAGUCUCCUAACCAGCCUUGGGCCCCAAAUUGGCCUGAAGGUUAUCGUAACAGCGGGUGAGGUGGCGAUGAUGGGUCUGGCGGUUGGCAUACUCUCUCACAUCAAAACAUACCUACAGAGGAGACAGAAUAAAAAAACAAACAAGGCUUAAUCAUGCCAUCACUGUCAGUCAUAAUAAUCAGGAGGUAAAAUUCUAAACUCUUGGACUACGACAUCUCUAUCUGUACUUCAAUGUAAAGCAUCUCUUUAAUAAUACUUCCUGUUGACCCAACCAAGUGACCUCUCACCUCUGAUCAUGCUGUGCCCUCUAUGGAGCCAGUUCAGACACAGGAGGAGUUCACUGACACAGCUGAUAUAACCUACAGCAGAUAUUCCAAACGGGUACGCCAAAUAAAAAUGCGAUUAACGUUUAAAUAACAUUUGAAAAAAUAAAAAACUAUUUUCAAUGAACAAAAUGUUUUAUAUGUAAGAUGGCUAAAUAAAUAGCAAAUGUAUUGAAUAUUAUUAUGUGCCCUUGAUCCUAUAAGAGCUCUUUGUUAAUUCCCACGAGCCAGGUUGUGACAAACUCAGACUCACUCUUAUGUUUAAUAAAUGUAUAGUGUGUGUGAGUGGCAGGCUUACAAUGAUGGUAAAAAAACAUUUGAGAAUGCGCUGACCCUGGUGCUAGAGGGGGUACGCAGCUAGGUUGAAUGUUUGAAGGGGUAUGGGACUUUAAAAAGUUUGGCAACCACUGACCUACAUGAUUACGGGAGAGAGGGAUGGAGUGAAGGAGACUGUUGAGAAAAUAAGUCAGUUAAAGAGACGGUGUUCAACAGGAACCUGUGUGUGUGUGUGGCCUCACUAAGUGGCUGCAGAGUACUUUAUACAGACACUUGAGUACAAACAAUUUAGCGUAGUUAUAUAAAUAAUGAAGUGUGUUACUAUUCUCCAUGGUUUGUCCUCUUGUCUAUUCUUUGAAGGUGGAAGGAGCCACAGUUAUACACCGGAGCCUGCUUACUACACAACACAUAAAUCAGAUUGAUAGACAAG
Molecule: long non-coding RNA, 2199 nt
Organism: Oncorhynchus kisutch (coho salmon)
Lineage: Eukaryota; Metazoa; Chordata; Actinopteri; Salmoniformes; Salmonidae
Exons: 2
Source: RefSeq, a predicted model, not a curated record